CUGCUGGAUUGGUCAUCUGGGCAGCAUCCGGUGGCUCUGCCUGUGCCCUGGGCUCUGUGGCUUCUGGCUUGGCUCUGUCUUCCCUGCCAACCUUUUGUCUUCUCUCCUUUUGGGUCUGGGGAUUGGAGGAGGCUUUGCCAAAGAAGGAGAUGGAAGGCCUUCCAGGAAGUCGCACAGGCGAGAGCCCAGGUGAAGAGAUACGAAAGCAAGUGACAAGUUCGGGAAAUGGGGAUUGAAUUCAGGUCCUUGUACUUGUGCAGCAGGUGGCAAAACCACUGAGCUAAAUCCCCGGCGCUCUACCUCCUAAUCUUGAAGUCAUGUCUUCAAUGUGAUUUUUAUAUCUUGUUUUUUCACCAUAUAUUUUGCAUGACAUUGGAAAUUCUUUUAAUGGUGGCC
RNAcentral lists this long non-coding RNA (396 nucleotides) under Heterocephalus glaber (naked mole-rat). Its description in RNAcentral is "lncRNA (ENSHGLG00100040115.1)". Lineage: Eukaryota; Metazoa; Chordata; Mammalia; Rodentia; Bathyergidae. The record is from RNAcentral.